CACGCCCUAAACGAUGUCAACUAGGUGUUGGGUGGGUAAAACCAUUUAGUACCGUAGCUAACGCGUGAAGUUGACCGCCUGGGGAGUACGGCCGCAAGGUUAAAACUCAAAGGAAUUGACGGGGACCCGCACAAGCGGUGGAUGAUGUGGAUUAAUUCGAUGCAACGCGAAAAACCUUACCUACCCUUGACAUGUUCAGAAUCCCGGAGAGAUUUGGGAGUGCCCGAAAGGGAGCUGGAACACAGGUGC
Molecule: ribosomal RNA, 249 nt
Filed under: uncultured bacterium
Lineage: Bacteria
Description: partial 16S ribosomal RNA
Rfam family: Bacterial small subunit ribosomal RNA
Source: RNAcentral